GAUGAACGCUAGCUACAGGCUUAACACAUGCAAGUCGAGGGGAAACGGCAUUGAGUGCUCGCACUCUUUGGACGUCGACCGGCGCACGGGUGAGUAACGCGUAUCCAACCUUCCCAUUACUGUGGGAUAACCUGCCGAAAGGCAGACUAAUACCGCAUAGUCUUCGAUGACGGCAUCAGAUUUGAAGUAAAGAUUUAUCGGUAAUGGAUGGGGAUGCGUCUGAUUAGCUUGUUGGCGGGGUAACGGCCCACCAAGGCGACGAUCAGUAGGGGUUCUGAGAGGAAGGUCCCCCACAUUGGAACUGAGACACGGUCCAAACUCCUACGGGAGGCAGCAGUGAGGAAUAUUGGUCAAUGGACGGAAGUCUGAACCAGCCAAGUAGCGUGCAGGAUGACGGCCCUAUGGGUUGUAAACUGCUUUUGUAUGGGGAUAAAGU
This 436-nucleotide ribosomal RNA is filed under the name Prevotella melaninogenica. Its description in RNAcentral is "bacterial SSU rRNA". It matches the Rfam family "Bacterial small subunit ribosomal RNA", at positions 28 to 452 of the family's 1533-position model. The record is from RNAcentral. Lineage: Bacteria; Pseudomonadati; Bacteroidota; Bacteroidia; Bacteroidales; Prevotellaceae.